This 915-nucleotide ribosomal RNA is filed under the name uncultured Actinobacillus sp. RNAcentral describes it as "bacterial SSU rRNA". It matches the Rfam family "Bacterial small subunit ribosomal RNA", at positions 76 to 985 of the family's 1533-position model. Lineage: Bacteria; Pseudomonadati; Pseudomonadota; Gammaproteobacteria; Pasteurellales; Pasteurellaceae. The record is from RNAcentral.
UAGCUUGCUAAUCUGCUGACGAGUGGCGGACGGGUGAGUAAUGCUUGGGAAUCUGGCUUAUGGAGGGGGAUAACUACGGGAAACUGUAGCUAAUACCGCGUAAUAUCGAGAGAUUAAAGGGUGGGACUUUCGGGCCACCUGCCAUAAGAUGAGCCCAAGUGGGAUUAGGUAGUUGGUUAGGUAAAGGCUGACCAAGCCGACGAUCUCUAGCUGGUCUGAGAGGAUGACCAGCCACACUGGAACUGAGACACGGUCCAGACUCCUACGGGAGGCAGCAGUGGGGAAUAUUGCACAAUGGGGGGAACCCUGAUGCAGCCAUGCCGCGUGAAUGAAGAAGGCCUUCGGGUUGUAAAGUUCUUUCGGUAGCGAGGAAGGCGUAGUAUUUAAUAGAUACUGCGAUUGACGUUAACUACAGAAGAAGCACCGGCUAACUCCGUGCCAGCAGCCGCGGUAAUACGGGGGGUGCGAGCGUUAAUCGGAAUAACUGGGCGUAAAGGGCACGCAGGCGGUGACUUAAGUGAGAUGUGAAAGCCCCGAGCUUAACUUGGGAAUUGCAUUUCAUACUGGGUCGCUAGAGUACUUUAGGGAGGGGUAGAAUUCCACGUGUAGCGGUGAAAUGCGUAGAGAUGUGGAGGAAUACCGAAGGCGAAGGCAGCCCCUUGGGAAUGUACUGACGCUCAUGUGCGAAAGCGUGGGGAGCAAACAGGAUUAGAUACCCUGGUAGUCCACGCUGUAAACGAUGUCGAUUUGGGGGGUUGGGCUUUAAGCUUGGCGCCCGUAGCUAACGUGAUAAAUCGACCGCCUGGGGAGUACGGCCGCAAGGUUAAAACUCAAAUGAAUUGACGGGGGCCCGCACAAGCGGUGGAGCAUGUGGUUUAAUUCGAUGCAACGCGAAGAACCUUACCUACUCUUGAC